GAUGAACGCUGGCGGCGUGCUUAACACAUGCAAGUCGAACGAAGCACUUUUACAGAUUUCUUCGGAGUGAAGUGAUAGUGACUGAGUGGCGGACGGGUGAGUAACGCGUGGUUAACCUGCCUCACACAGGGGGAUAACAGGUGGAAACGGCUGCUACUACCGCAUAAGCGCCGAGUAACGCAUGGUACGGUCUGAAAAACUCCGGUGGGGUGAGAGGGACCCGCGUGUGAUUAGCUAGUUGGCAAGAUAACGGUCUACCAAGGCGACGCUCAGUAGCCGACCUGAGAGGGAGACCGGCCACAUUGGGACUGAGACACGUGCCAAACUCCUACGGGAGGCAGCAGUUGGGAAUAUUGCACAAUGGGGGAAACCCUGAUGCAGCGACGCCGCGUGAGCGAAGAAGUAUUUCGGUAUGUAAAGCUCUAUCAGCAGGGAAGAAGAAAUGACGGUACCUGACUAAGAAGCACCGGCUAAAUACGUGCCAGCCGCCGCAGUAA
RNAcentral lists this ribosomal RNA (497 nucleotides) under uncultured bacterium. RNAcentral describes it as "partial 16S ribosomal RNA". It matches the Rfam family "Bacterial small subunit ribosomal RNA", at positions 28 to 523 of the family's 1533-position model. The record is from RNAcentral.